GAUGAACGCUGGCGGCGUGCCUAAUACAUGCAAGUCGAGCGAACGGACGAGAAGCUUGCUUCUCUGAUGUUAGCGGCGGACGGGGGAGUAACACGUGGAUAACCUACCUAUAAGACUGGGAUAACUUCGGGAAACCGGAGCUAAUACCGGAUAAUAUUUUGAACCGCAUGGUUCAAAAGUGAAAGACGGUCUUGCUGUCACUUAUAGAUGGAUCCGCGCUGCAUUAGCUAGUUGGUAAGGUAACGGCUUACCAAGGCAACGAUGCAUAGCCGACCUGAGAGGGUGAUCGGCCACACUGGAACUGAGACACGGUCCAGACUCCUACGGGAGGCAGCAGUAGGGAAUCUUCCGCAAUGGGCGAAAGCCUGACGGAGCAACGCCGCGUGAGUGAUGAAGGUCUUCGGAUCGUAAAACUCUGUUAUUAGGGAAGAACAUAUGUGUAAGUACCUGUGCACAUCUUGACGGUACCUAAUCAGAAAGCCACGGCUAACUACGUG
Molecule: ribosomal RNA, 497 nt
Filed under: uncultured bacterium
Lineage: Bacteria
Description: partial 16S ribosomal RNA
Rfam family: Bacterial small subunit ribosomal RNA
Source: RNAcentral